GUGUGUGUGUGUGUGUGUGUGUGUUUGGCAAAGCAACCAUUGGGAGCCAGAGGAGGAAGAUAAUAGUAGGGCGAAGGAGUCCAGGAAGAGAGAGGAGAGGAGCGGUCAGGACUGGACAGUGUUUGCCUGGUGACUAUCCUCAGCUUCCUUGGAUCUCUUCUCUGCUUUCUUCCCUCUCUCUUUUCACAGCAUUGUUGAUAAAGACACCAAGAACAGAGUAGCUACAGUAAGCAGCUGAUGGGGAAACAGGAUGCAGAAGCCAGGCUGCAUCGGCACAGUUUAUCGUGAGAGCACCUGCGGUUACCCAUCCAAGCUGCCCACUGUCUGCUCCCCUUGCCCCUCUCGAGUUGCCUCACCUCACCGCAUAUAUUUCCCUCAAGACCCAGACUUUUGUUGCAAUGAACAAAAUGUUGACCAAGAGGCUUUUCAAAAGAACCAGUCUCAGCAUGCAGCCAUGUGGGCUAACCAGGGAACCAGAAAUUCUGUCCACACCCUCAGCAAAUUUCCCUCACCGUAACAUACACUGCAAAACAGGAGGGAAAGGGGAACUUGCAACUGAUGAGUCCUUCUUCCUUUUUCUA
This is a long non-coding RNA of Fukomys damarensis (Damara mole-rat), 581 nucleotides long. RefSeq lists it as uncharacterized. The transcript has 3 exons. The record is from RefSeq and is a predicted model, not a curated record. Lineage: Eukaryota; Metazoa; Chordata; Mammalia; Rodentia; Bathyergidae.